Molecule: ribosomal RNA, 87 nt
Filed under: Urocitellus parryii (Arctic ground squirrel)
Lineage: Eukaryota; Metazoa; Chordata; Mammalia; Rodentia; Sciuridae
Source: RNAcentral
CCACCCUGAACACACCCGAUCCCGUCUGAUCUCGGAAGCUAAGCAGGGUCGGGCCUGGUUAGUACUUGGAUGGGAGAAACACAGGUC